UAUUUAUGCCCCUUAGCCAAGUCAAAUCUGCCUUCACUAUAAUGCUACUUCUGUGGAACUAUAAUGGUUACAUAUCGAUCCAACAUGCAUCUCCCUCGCCGGAGUUCUACGCUAAAAAAAAGUACUACCGAUUUUUGAACCAGUCUGCUUGAAAUGUGCUUUUAAUACUAAGAGUGACCAGAGAGACUUCCCUGAUGGGCCUUCUAUGAUUCAAUGGUUCAUCUUGGCUCAGAAACCUCAGAAAAAGGGAAAACAAGUUGGGAGAAAAAGAAGCUUUUUACCCUCUGUGGCAGUAGGUAAUCCUGCCUAAUAAGGCACAAGAGCCCAAGUUCAGCAAAGCAUUUAAUCAAGGGCCUGCUCAAACUGCCACUGGACUCAGUGGAAAAGCUCCUGUUAGUUGAACAGAAACAGGAUCAGACCCAAAGUGCUUACAUCCAUUUCUUGGAGACGAUAUUGUCUUUUUGUUCUGUGUUUGUACAGCACCUAGCACAAUGGGGUCCUCGUCUAUGACUGGGGUUCUUAGUAGUGCUACUACAAUACUAACAAUAAAUCACCAUACUAAUAA
Chrysemys picta bellii (western painted turtle) is the source of this 565-nucleotide non-coding RNA. Lineage: Eukaryota; Metazoa; Chordata; Testudines; Emydidae. The record is from RefSeq and is a predicted model, not a curated record.